This 193-nucleotide ribosomal RNA is filed under the name uncultured bacterium. Its description in RNAcentral is "partial 16S ribosomal RNA". It matches the Rfam family "Bacterial small subunit ribosomal RNA", at positions 338 to 524 of the family's 1533-position model. The record is from RNAcentral.
CCUACGGGAGGCAGCAGUGGGGAAUCUUGCGCAAUGGGCGAAAGCCUGACGCAGCGACGCCGCGUGCGGGAAGAAGGCCUUCGGGUUGUAAACCGCUUUCAGGAGGGACGAAGCCACUCGGGUGAAUAGCCCAGAGGGUGACGGUACCUCCAGAAGAAGCCCCGGCUAACUACGUGCCAGCAGCCGCGGUAAU